GAGGGAAGUCUGGGCUUCCCUGUUAAAGCUGCUGCCCCCGCGACCCGACCCUGGAACAAGCGGAAGAUAAUGGAUGGAUGGAUGGAUGUGUUAUGAUCUCCAAUAAGACUCCAAAGUCGAUCUUUUUGUUCUUCUUAGUAUUUUACUCAUUGCCUGCUAUUGACAGCUGUAGACAUCCAACUCGUUUAAACUGGAAAGAAUGGUUGUGAAUGCUCAUCUUUCAGUGUCAGUGGCGACACUAGACAUCCAAUUCAUUUUGACUGGAAGGGUUGGCAGUAGUCAUUCGCUGCUAGCCUCUCCUAGCCAAAAUGGAUAUGGACGUCUGGUGCCGUCAAUGGCAACCAAACGUUGUGUAAAAAUGAGUGCCCUAUAUAGGAUUAAAAUUGCAAAAUCUUUCACUCCAAGUCAAGAAAAUGAAUGUUUAAUAGUUAACACAUUUUCUCUUUUUAAGAAAUGAACUUCUGAUGGAAGGGAAAAAAAAAAGAGCAAAAGUCACUGACCAUCCACGUCAAAGUGUUUCCAGAUGUCGAUGAACUGGGCGGCUGUGAGCUCGGCCAGGUGCAGGUGAACCAGCUUAUGAAAUGAGGGAGACUGACCCAGACUGGGCACCACCCCUACAUCUGGGACACACAUCUGUUACACCGACAAACACUGCACGCUCUGCAAGACGAACGUGAGCAGCUACGGAAAGAGACACUGCAAGCACCAGAGAUGGGGGUCCAGCAGGAUGCAAACAUUGAAGAGCUGCAGACCAAGGAGGGACCAUCUGAGCCUGGUGAAAUAAACAGUCACCAACAGAAUGAGGAAGGGACACCUGACGCUGGAGAAGAAAGUGGUCAGCUACAGACUGAAGAGGGGACACAUGAAGCUGGAGAAAAAGUGUACAUCAGAAGCGAUGACCGGCCACCAUGCUUUGCUGCCUAAACUGCGCCUGAGAAGUACAUGUACAAACAAGCUAGGAAAAACUGCCAUGCCGUCACCGCAGCUCCAACAGACCAGCAGAUCCUUGGCCAGCUCACGGUGACCUUUGGGAAAUACAAAGGCAAGACCUUCUGUGGCUUAUGGAGGAAGAUGUCUGCUAUGUCAAGUAUCUCCUCGAUAGCCACGUGAAGGAGAGGCGACGACAGAUGGGAAGGUGCGACACCAAAACUGGGGAGUGGUGGCUGAAGGAGCAGCUUCUACGCUACGUGGAUAUGUUCCCUCCGGUGUCAUGCCACUUGGAGCAGAACAUCGACCGGGCCAUCUGCGGGCAUGGCAGCUUCCGGUCCUUCACGUUCGAGGAGAUGUGGCAGUUUUAUGACCUCUCCAAGUUCUUCCGUAACGAUCUCGCCAAAAGCGCAGAAGAAUGGAAGAUGGUCCAGGAAGCCUUCUGCUUCGUGCGUCAGUGGCUACUGAUGACAGAGUAGGACAUCAAUGUCACGUUAAGCGAUUUCGACUGUACAUCCUCACAAAGGAGGAGGAGCAAGCUAAAGGCAAAGUUGCACCAGCUACGCCCCUCACGUCAGCUUGUGCAUCAGCAUUAGCAGCAUUAUCAACAUGACCUGCUGUAGCAAAUACACCAUCUUCAGCAGCAGUAGCAGCAGCACAACAACAAGCACCACCACCACAAGGUGAUGAUGAAGACUGGCAAUGUAAAAUACUACGCGCCUGUGCGCUUUUUGCCCAAUCUGCACAGGGUCACAAAAAAUAUUGAUAAAAAAAAAAAAAAAAAAAAAGACCUACAUGGUCAAGGCGUCCACGUCCAAAGGACUUUCUGGCAGGUCUUUUGAAAACUUUGUAAAUUUUAAGGAGGCGGUCAAUGACCUUGUAAAAUAAAACAUAUUGAGAUGUACUUCAUGUCUCAGCUACUUCUUUUUACACACACAAAUAACCAUAUUGCUCGGCAUAGCAUAUAGUCCUGUAUAUUGUGCACUUUCCCAAUGAGUGCUCACAGAAAAUUAAAAACCUAGUCCUUAUU
Molecule: long non-coding RNA, 1957 nt
Organism: Corythoichthys intestinalis (scribbled pipefish)
Lineage: Eukaryota; Metazoa; Chordata; Actinopteri; Syngnathiformes; Syngnathidae
Exons: 6
Source: RefSeq, a predicted model, not a curated record